GCUCCAGUAGCCAAGGGGUAAAGGCUCCCAUCUCAUAAAUGGGCGAACGUUGGGUUCGAAUCCCACCUGGAGUACCA
Molecule: transfer RNA, 77 nt
Filed under: Hymenobacter sp.
Lineage: Bacteria; Pseudomonadati; Bacteroidota; Cytophagia; Cytophagales; Hymenobacteraceae
Description: tRNA-Met
Rfam family: tRNA
About the family: Transfer RNA (tRNA) molecules are approximately 80 nucleotides in length. Their secondary structure includes four short double-helical elements and three loops (D, anti-codon, and T loops).
Source: RNAcentral